AUUGAACGCUGGCGGCAUGCUUUACACAUGCAAGUCGAACGGCAGCGCGGGCUUUGGCUUGUCGGCGGGUGGCGAACGGGUGAGUAAUACAACGGAACGUGCCCAGUUGUGGGGGAUAGCUCGGUGAAAGACGGAUUAAUACCGCAUACGACAUGAGGUUGAAAGCGGGGGAUCUUCGUACCACGCGCUAUUGCAGCGGCCGAUGGCAGAUUAGCUAGUUGGUGGGGUAAAGGCUUACCAAGGCGACGAUCUGUAGCUGGUCUGAGAGGAUGACCAGCCACACUGGCACUGAGACACGGCCCAGACUCCUACGGGAGGCAGCAGUGGGGAAUUUUGGCCAAUGGGCGAAAGCCUGAUCCAGCAAUGCCGCGUGUGUGAUGAAGGCCUUCGGGUUGUAAAGCACUUUUGGCAGGGACGAAAAGGACUGUACCAAAACCACGGUUCGGUGACGGUACCCGCAGAAUAAGCACCGGCUAACUACGUG
Molecule: ribosomal RNA, 484 nt
Filed under: uncultured bacterium
Lineage: Bacteria
Description: partial 16S ribosomal RNA
Rfam family: Bacterial small subunit ribosomal RNA
Source: RNAcentral